AGNAACGGCUCAUGAAAUUCAAUAGCCGCACAUAUUAUUGUGCUAAGGUAGCAUAAUCAUUUGUCUUUUAAUUAAAGACUAGAACGAAAGAUAUUACAUUUAAAUUUCUUUUUUAAAUAUAUACGUUAAAAUUAUUCUAAAUAUAAUAAAAUAUUUAUAUAAAAAAUAGACGAUAAGACCCUAUUAAACUUCACUAAAGUUUAACUGGGGUAGUUAAUUAAAUAUUAUUUUAAUAAUAUUAAUUAAAUUAUUAACCCAAUAAAAUUGAAAUAAAUAAGUUACUAUAGGGAUAACAGCGCAAUAAAAUUCUAAAGACCUUAUUUAAAAUUUUGAUUACGACCUCGAUGUUGAAUUAAUAACCUUUAUUAUGCAAUUUUUUUAUAAAGGAAGUCUGUUCGACUUUUAAACAAUUACAUGAUCUGAGUCAAAACCGGGAGANGNNCNNNNNNNNCC
This 453-nucleotide ribosomal RNA is filed under the name Dolichocybaeus whanseunensis. RNAcentral's name for it is "partial 16S ribosomal RNA". The record is from RNAcentral. Lineage: Eukaryota; Metazoa; Arthropoda; Arachnida; Araneae; Cybaeidae.